Long non-coding RNA from Magallana angulata, 941 nucleotides. RefSeq lists it as uncharacterized. Lineage: Eukaryota; Metazoa; Mollusca; Bivalvia; Ostreida; Ostreidae. The record is from RefSeq and is a predicted model, not a curated record. The transcript is spliced from 2 exons.
UAAUUUAGUUAUUGUUAAUAUAUUAAAUAAUGUCAUUUGGUAUCAAAUUAAACAAGUUCUGUCCUAUAUUUUUUUUCAAAUUUCAUAAAACAAAUAUAUAAGAAUCGUACAUGAACGAGUUAAUAUGUCUACAUAGACACACAAGCGAACAAAUGCCACAUUAAGGCCCAGGCAUUUACUGCAUUACGUUGUGUUGCGUCUUAGAUAAAUUGUUGUGGUUCAAUUUCAUUUUUUUCAUCUAUAUCAUUUAUGAAUUCAAUGAACACACAUUAUUUAAACGUUCUAUGUGAAACUAUUUGUCGGGGCGCCCCUGUUUGUGACCCCCGCGCGCGCGCGCCGAAUGUAAACAGUAACGAACGGCAUUGUAGGCCUAGAAAAGAGAGAGCCGUAAUGCAGAAGAGAAGUUGUGUAUUCUUUCGGUGUACACAUGCAUUUUCAAUUUGCUGUGAAACAUAUGAACAUGCACAGGGAACAAUACUACAUAUUUGUUUAAGAAGGAUAUUUUUCUCGUGUGAAUCGUUUACGAGGAAAUUCUGACAGCCACACUUAUGUCGACGAUCAGCCGUUGAUAAGCUACGAGUAAUAAAGGAGAAAAGAUGGACAUUAAAGUGUGUGAUUUAUGUGGAUGUUACUGAAGAAGCUCAAAACAGACUCUUGUUACCACAUGGCUUUUACCGGUACCUGUUGAUUCUUGUGGGUCAGCUCCUGAGAUUAACCUGUCACCUCUAUCCACAUGCAUAUUCCUUGUGUUCUACAGACUAUUUACUGGUAAUUCAAAUUAAAUCCGAUAAUGCAUGAACAAUAAUGGAACUUGAAGAAAGCAUCAUGCCAUGUUGUGGUUUGUGUUUGAUAAGAAAUUAUGAAAACAAAAUUAAGGCUGUUUAAAGAAAUUCAUAAUUGCUGUGAAAAUUUGUUUUUCAAUAAAAGUAUACAAUUAUGUU